UUUUAACUGUAUUUUUAAUAACGCUUAAAUCAAAAACACCGCAAAAUGUAAAACAUCAGCGGCGUUUCGCAAAAGUAAAGCAAUAGCGGUGUUCGCCAAAGGUAAAACAAUAGUGGCUUUACAGAAAAAUGCUAAAGUAAUAGCCGCCUUUCUCCCAUAACCACUGACAAAAACCUAAAAGGUAAAGUACUCUGUCUCUUUUAUCCUCUCUUUGCCAUCAGCCGCCGCAUCCGGCGACCUCCUACCACCACCCCUAGCUCGUCAUUGCAAAACCUCACUCACUUACGUUGGCUCGUCCGUACCCUCGGGCACUAUCUACCUCCACUUUAACGUCGUUCUCUGUUCUGCACUUUGUUUACUUCUCUCUUUCCCUCUUCCUUCCGUCAUCUUCGUUGCUCGUUCUUCCGUCUUUGCUGCUUUUUACUCCGUUCACCGGACUCUCUCUAGUUUUAUUUUCUCUUUGUUUAUCUUUUAUCUUUGGCUGGAUCUUCUCGUUGCGGUGUCUAUACGAAGGGAUCAACAACUCCAGACACCAGAAAAAGUAACAAAUACUCUCACAUACUCUCACUCUUUUCCUUUUUCAUUUCGACGGGACUAACGCUAAAUUACAGACACGGGACUCAAAGGUUCGUUGCAAUUCGGCUGUUGGCCAUGGGAGUUAGUGCUGCAAUGCUUUUAAACUUGAUUAUGUGCAUGCUUUGUUUAUUCAUGUCAAGAAUUCAUACUGAAAACAGGGAAUCAGUUAUUGAGUAGAACUCUUUACUCAGUGCCCUGUAUCAACGUAUCAUCCUUUCAGGAUUUUUGAAGGCAAUUUUUCUCUGUUCUUUUGUGAAUGUAUCCUAGUUUAUGAGGCUUUCUAUGAUGAGGCAUUUUGCCUGUUUGUUAUUAUUGUGUCUAACUUUAUAUCCUCUCUAAUGAUUGUAGCUUGUAUUUGGUAGGGUGACAACUCUUUCAUGGAUUCAAAGAAAUCUGAUCUUCCAGGAUAUGCUGUAGGUUCCUUACUUGCUAAGCUCUUUCCUAAUUAAUAUUUGGUGCCUCUGUGAAUAAUGUCUACUUUCUUGUAAUACUGGCCUCCAACGUGCUGUGCCUGGUUCUUAGAAACAAUAUUGACCUAGGUGAUUAACUUACAAUGUGUUUUUUUAUCCAAUGCAUAUAUAUAUUUUAUCUAUUUAACCAGCUUUUUGCGACUAAUAUUUUUUUCAGCUUGCACAUGUGUCUUUUGAGCAAUUGAAUUCAUCAAAAGACAUUACAGAAGAAAUUCUUUUAUCAUGUUCUUGGUUGCAUCACCUAUUAAGGAAACAUAUAUUUCCUUAGUAUGUCUCUCAAUAAGGCAUUUCUUUUAUAUAUUUAACCAGCUUUCUGCAAGUAAAUUUUUCCUUCAUCUUGCAGGGACGUGUCUUGUGAGUACAUGAAUUCAUCUAAAGACAUUACAAAAGAAAUUCUUUUAUCAUGUUCUCGGUAGCAUCACCCAUUAAGAAAACAUUUCAUUAGCAUGUCUCUCAAUAAAGCAUCUUUUUUUGGUAUUCCUUUGAGGUUUUUCAAUGGUAUCCUACAAUCUUGACAGGUUGGCUUUUUGUGAUGAAUGAAAUUUAGCUGAGUUGUUCAUUUAUUACUUUGUUUUACUUUUAGGCUUUUAUAUCGAAAUCUUAUUCAGAAUGAGUUUUAUCCAAUGAAUUAACUCUGUUUUACCCCUUCUUAUGAGUAGAUUUUAGAUACUGCGAAAGGCUCUAUAACAUUGGAGCUCUUCAAGGACAGUUCUCCUGAAGUUGUUGAUCAAUUUCUUGAUUUAUGAGGUGCUUUGAAGAUUGCUGCUCUCAAAGCUCCCAGCUUCGGAGAACGCAAGAGUCAGUAUCUGGAUGACAUUGCUAUCCUUACUGGAGGUACUGUUAUUAGAGAUGAGGUUGGGCUUUCCUUGGACAAAGCUAGCAAAGAAGUCUUGGGUCAUGCCUCUAAAGUGGUGCUUACCAAGGAUACAACCACCAUCGUGGGUGAUGGAAGCACUCUGGAAGCAGUGAAUAAACGAGUUGCUGCAGAACAGGAUUAUGAGAAGGAAAAACUUAAACGAAAGGAUUGCUAAAUUAUCUGGUGGUCUGGCAGUGAUACAGGUUGGAGCUCAAACUGAAACAGAGCUUAAAGAAAAGAAAUUGAGAGUAGAAGAUGCUCUUAAUGCAACUAAGGUGGUCAGAUGUUGCUUGGCGCAUGCAGCAUCAGGAUACGGCUACUAAAGCAGAUGUUGAAGGGAAACCGAAUAAGGUAUCAAAUCUCCAUCGUAGCAACAAUGAACCUGUUUAGAGUAGAAUGCUUAUUUUCGUUGUUGAUUAAUUAUUGAAAAAUCCUUAAGAUCCCAGUGAUAUAUAAGAUUUGCAUUUUGCAGUUCAGUGUAAUAAUUUUGAAUAUCAUUUUUCAAUGAAAGGAAGAAAGUUGGUAUUUA
Gossypium arboreum is the source of this 2431-nucleotide long non-coding RNA. RefSeq lists it as uncharacterized. The transcript has 10 exons. The record is from RefSeq and is a predicted model, not a curated record. NCBI's taxonomy places the organism in Eukaryota, Viridiplantae, Streptophyta, Magnoliopsida, Malvales, Malvaceae.